This 74-nucleotide transfer RNA is filed under the name Schleiferilactobacillus harbinensis. RNAcentral describes it as "Lactobacillus harbinensis tRNA-Met". It matches the Rfam family "tRNA". Rfam says of the family: Transfer RNA (tRNA) molecules are approximately 80 nucleotides in length. Their secondary structure includes four short double-helical elements and three loops (D, anti-codon, and T loops). The record is from RNAcentral. Lineage: Bacteria; Bacillati; Bacillota; Bacilli; Lactobacillales; Lactobacillaceae.
CGCGGGAUGGAGCAGUCUGGUAGCUCGUUGGGCUCAUAACCCAAAGGUCGUAGGUCCAAAUCCUACUCCCGCAA